RNAcentral lists this ribosomal RNA (575 nucleotides) under Meyerozyma guilliermondii. Its description in RNAcentral is "eukaryotic LSU rRNA". It matches the Rfam family "Eukaryotic large subunit ribosomal RNA", at positions 80 to 671 of the family's 3401-position model. Lineage: Eukaryota; Fungi; Ascomycota; Pichiomycetes; Serinales; Debaryomycetaceae. The record is from RNAcentral.
UUAGUAGCGGCGAGUGAAGCGGCAAAAGCUCAAAUUUGAAAUCUGGCGCCUUCGGUGUCCGAGUUGUAAUUUGAAGAUUGUAACCUUGGGGUUGGCUCUUGUCUAUGUUUCUUGGAACAGGACGUCACAGAGGGUGAGAAUCCCGUGCGAUGAGAUGCCCAAUUCUAUGUAAGGUGCUUUCGAAGAGUCGAGUUGUUUGGGAAUGCAGCUCUAAGUGGGUGGUAAAUUCCAUCUAAAGCUAAAUAUUGGCGAGAGACCGAUAGCGAACAAGUACAGUGAUGGAAAGAUGAAAAGAACUUUGAAAAGAGAGUGAAAAAGUACGUGAAAUUGUUGAAAGGGAAGGGUUUGAGAUCAGACUCGAUAUUUUGUGAGCCUUGCCUUCGUGGCGGGGUGACCCGCAGCUUAUCGGGCCAGCAUCGGUUUGGGCGGUAGGAUAAUGGCGUAGGAAUGUGACUUUACUUCGGUGAAGUGUUAUAGCCUGCGUUGAUGCUGCCUGCCUAGACCGAGGACUGCGAUUUUAUCAAGGAUGCUGGCAUAAUGAUCCCAAACCGCCCGUCUUGAACCACGGACCAAAA